Molecule: transfer RNA, 68 nt
Filed under: Varanus gilleni
Lineage: Eukaryota; Metazoa; Chordata; Lepidosauria; Squamata; Varanidae
Description: tRNA-Ala
Source: RNAcentral
AAGGCUUUAGCUUAAUAAAAGUAUCUGGGUUGCAUUCAGAUGAUGCAAACGAGAGUUUGCAGGUCUUA